AAAUUAAUUCUCCAAACUAAAAUCUGCAUAAAUUACUUUUCCUAAAUUUAUGGUCAAACACGCCCAUUGUCUAGAUUAUUGAAAUUUAACUAUUAAAUUAAAUACAAUAAGUUUAUAAUUUUAGUAAUCUUCAACAAGAUAAUUGUAUGAAUCAAAUGCAAGAAUAAUAUUACGUGCAAAAAUAAACAUAAUAUAUUUUCGUCAUACAUUCUCAACGCACUUAUACAACCUUCCCACAAUAUUAAACAGAGCAUUAAUUAUGUUCUUUUUUUUCUGUAUUAAUUAUUUGGUAAAAAUAUAUAAACUUUAUGUGAACUACAAAUUAUUUUGAUUUAAUUAUUUAUUUAAUUGUUCAAAAUAUUGAUUUU
Molecule: long non-coding RNA, 368 nt
Filed under: Ananas comosus (pineapple)
Lineage: Eukaryota; Viridiplantae; Streptophyta; Magnoliopsida; Poales; Bromeliaceae
Description: long non-coding RNA (ACOM_LNC007400)
Source: RNAcentral